Quercus lobata is the source of this 594-nucleotide long non-coding RNA. RefSeq lists it as uncharacterized. The record is from RefSeq and is a predicted model, not a curated record. The transcript has 3 exons. NCBI's taxonomy places the organism in Eukaryota, Viridiplantae, Streptophyta, Magnoliopsida, Fagales, Fagaceae.
GUAACCAAUCACCAUGUUGUAGCUAAAUUGGCAACAGAUGGGAGCGGAAUACAUUGUUGUAAGAUUUAUCUAGCAGACACAAGAGGCAAUGGCUUUUACAGGGAAGGAAAGAUUGUUGGUGUUGAUCCAGAAUAUGAUCUGGCUGUCCUUAAGUUGACUAAAGAAGACGUGCAAGCUUGUGUUAGAUAGCCUGAAGUGAACAUAAAGAACCUAGAUUGCAUAGAGCUAUCAAGGAAAGGGUUGAAAGAAUUGCAAGAGUGGAUGGUGGACAACUGGGUUCCUAGAAAUUGCUAAAUUCAAUUAGAUAUUGAAAUGGCUAUUGAGGGAAAUUUAGAGCGAGGAAAAUGACUAAAAUUAGAGUUGUUUCUGAAUAUGUUUCAAUGGAGAUUUGAGAUAUUUGAAGCUGGCCAACCUCAUAUUAAAAUGAAUUUCUUCUGAGUGUCUCUCAAUGGUCCUGUAUCCAAGCAAAGUUUGAUUGCUUCAAUUUUUUAGGAUGGUGCUUUAUUCUUGAAUGAGUUCCCAAAUAAUUUGUUUUCCUUUUUGUAUUCACUUGCUAACUAUGUACUUUGAGGUUCCAUAAUGAGAUGGAAGUUC